RNAcentral lists this ribosomal RNA (253 nucleotides) under uncultured bacterium. RNAcentral's name for it is "partial 16S ribosomal RNA". It matches the Rfam family "Bacterial small subunit ribosomal RNA", at positions 524 to 776 of the family's 1533-position model. The record is from RNAcentral.
UACAGAGGGGGCAAGCGUUGUUCGGAAUUACUGGGCGUAAAGGGCGCGUAGGCGGCCUUCUAAGUCGAACGUGAAAUCCCUGGGCUCAACCCAGGAACUGCGUCCGAUACUGGAAGGCUUGAAUCCGGGAGAGGGAUGCGGAAUUCCAGGUGUAGCGGUGAAAUGCGUAGAUAUCUGGAGGAACACCGGUGGCGAAGGCGGCAUCCUGGACCGAUAUUGACGCUGAUGCGCGAAAGCCAGGGGAGCAAACGGG